This 810-nucleotide ribosomal RNA is filed under the name Nannizzia praecox. Its description in RNAcentral is "eukaryotic LSU rRNA". It matches the Rfam family "Eukaryotic large subunit ribosomal RNA", at positions 85 to 912 of the family's 3401-position model. The record is from RNAcentral. Lineage: Eukaryota; Fungi; Ascomycota; Eurotiomycetes; Onygenales; Arthrodermataceae.
AACGGCGAGUGAAGCGGCAAGAGCUCAAAUUUGAAAUCUGGCCCCCUCCGGGGGUCCGAGUUGUAAUUUGUAGAGGAUGCUUCGGGUGUGGCCGCCGUCUAAGUUCCUUGGAACAGGACGUCAGAGAGGGUGAGAAUCCCGUCUUGGGCGGCCGGUCCGCGCCCGUGUGAAGCUCCUUCGACGAGUCGAGUUGUUUGGGAAUGCAGCUCUAAGCGGGUGGUAAAUUUCAUCUAAAGCUAAAUACUGGUCGGAGACCGAUAGCGCACAAGUAGAGUGAUCGAAAGGUUAAAAGCACCUUGGAAAGGGAGUUAAACAGCACGUGAAAUUGUUGAAAGGGAAGCGCUUGCGGCCAGACUCGGGGGCGGGGUUCAGCGGGCGCUCGUCGCCCGUGCACUCCCCGUCUCCCGGGCCAGCAUCAGUUUCGACGGCCGGUCAAAGGCCCCCGGAAUGUGUCGUCUCUCGGGACGUCUUAUAGCCGGGGGUGCAAUGCGGCCCGUCGGGACUGAGGAACGCGCUCCGGCUCGGAUGCUGGCGUAAUGGCCGUAAGCGGCCCGUCUUGAAACACGGACCAAGGAGUCUAACAUCCACGCGAGUGUUCGGGUGUCAAACCCGUGCGCGCAGUGAAAGCGAACGGAGGUGGGAGCCUUAGGGCGCACCAUCGACCGAUCCUGAAGUCUUCGGAUGGAUUUGAGUAGGAGCGUGGCCGUUGGGACCCGAAAGAUGGUGAACUAUGCCUGAAUAGGGUGAAGCCAGAGGAAACUCUGGUGGAGGCUCGCAGCGGUUCUGACGUGCAAAUCGAUCGUCAAAUUU